UACGGGGGGGGCAAGCGUUGUUCGGAAUUACUGGGCGUAAAGGGCGCGUAGGCGGUUCGAUAAGUCAGCUGUGAAAACCAUGGGCUUAACUCAUGGCCUGCAGUUGAGACUGUCGGGCUGGAGUGUGGGAGAGGUGAGUGGAACUGCGAGUGUAGAGGUGAAAUUCGUAGAUAUUCGCAAGAACACCAGUGGCGAAGGCGGCUCACUGGCCCGGUACUGACGCUGAGGUGCGAAAGCGUGGGGAGCAAACAGG
This 253-nucleotide ribosomal RNA is filed under the name uncultured bacterium. Its description in RNAcentral is "partial 16S ribosomal RNA". It matches the Rfam family "Bacterial small subunit ribosomal RNA", at positions 524 to 776 of the family's 1533-position model. The record is from RNAcentral.